Molecule: transfer RNA, 73 nt
Filed under: Ictidomys tridecemlineatus (thirteen-lined ground squirrel)
Lineage: Eukaryota; Metazoa; Chordata; Mammalia; Rodentia; Sciuridae
Also listed under: 1 other name
Description: Spermophilus tridecemlineatus (thirteen-lined ground squirrel) tRNA
Rfam family: tRNA
About the family: Transfer RNA (tRNA) molecules are approximately 80 nucleotides in length. Their secondary structure includes four short double-helical elements and three loops (D, anti-codon, and T loops). Further hydrogen bonds mediate the characteristic L-shaped molecular structure. tRNAs have two regions of fundamental functional importance: the anti-codon, which is responsible for specific mRNA codon recognition, and the 3' end, to which the tRNAs corresponding amino acid is attached (by aminoacyl-tRNA synthetases). tRNAs cope with the degeneracy of the genetic code in two manners: having more than one tRNA (with a specific anti-codon) for a particular amino acid; and 'wobble' base-pairing, i.e. permitting non-standard base-pairing at the 3rd anti-codon position.
Source: Rfam by way of RNAcentral
GGGGAUAUAGCUCAGUGGUAGAGUGCCUGCCUGCCUAGCAUGCAUGUGGCCCUGGGUUCAAUUCCCAGCACCA